UACGUAGGCAGCGAGCGUUGUUCGGAGUUACUGGGCGUAAAGAGUGCGUAGGCGGUUUUCUAAGUUUGGUGGGAAAUCUCCCGGCUCAACUGGGAGGGUGCGCCGAAGACUGGAAGGCUUGAGUAUGGGAGAGGUAAGCGGAAUUCCUGGUGUAGCGGUGAAAUGCGUAGAUAUCAGGAGGAACACCUGCGGUGUAGACGGCUUACUGGACCAUGACUGACACUCAGGGACGAAAGCUAGGGGAGCGAAUGGG
RNAcentral lists this ribosomal RNA (253 nucleotides) under uncultured bacterium. RNAcentral describes it as "partial 16S ribosomal RNA". It matches the Rfam family "Bacterial small subunit ribosomal RNA", at positions 524 to 776 of the family's 1533-position model. The record is from RNAcentral.